Molecule: unclassified non-coding RNA, 329 nt
Filed under: soil metagenome
Description: partial contains 5.8S ribosomal RNA, internal transcribed spacer 2, and large subunit ribosomal RNA
Rfam family: 5.8S ribosomal RNA (bases 1-120)
Source: RNAcentral
GAUGAAGAACGUAGCGAAAUGCGAUAAGUAAUGUGAAUUGCAGAAUUCAGUGAAUCAUCGAAUCUUUGAACGCACAUUGCGCCCCCUGGCAUUCCGGGGGGCAUGCCUGUUCGAGCUUCAUUACAACCCUCAAGCUCUGCUUGGUAUUGGGCUCUGCUGGGACCGGCAGGCCUUAAAAUCAGUGGCGGCGCCACUCGGCUUCAAGCGUAGUAAUUCUUCUCGCUUCGGAGACCCGGGUGCGUGCUAGCCAGCAACCCCCAACUUUCUUAGGUUGACCUCGGAUCAGGUAGGGAUACCCGCUGAACUUAAGCAUAUCAAUAAGCGGAGGA